Molecule: long non-coding RNA, 742 nt
Organism: Athene cunicularia (burrowing owl)
Lineage: Eukaryota; Metazoa; Chordata; Aves; Strigiformes; Strigidae
Exons: 4
Source: RefSeq, a predicted model, not a curated record
CAUUUCUUCAAAGUAACGGGCUCCGUCAGCACACGUUCUCCUCCAUGGAUGCACUAACGUUUGGACCAGCAUUUUAAGAGACAAUCUCUUGAGUGCCAGAAGUGGAAAUUUGUCCUUCUUCCUUACUCUGUUUUGGUUGCAAGAAUAAAACAAUUUGCAAAGAUGAAUAUGACGGGAGAAGGCUGUAACCUAGACUUAUCUCCAGUCCAGACAGGAAAAGAGAAAUAAUAAAGGACUACUCCUGUGACCUACUUCAGUUAAACAGACCUGACAUUUCAUACAAUUCCUUUGAUUUCGGUCCAGACAUUAAGAUAAAGUGCGAGACUGGAUGUGAACGUGCCUGAGCAUCUAAGCAUCUUUCAGACCAUUCAAUAAGCCUUUCUCUAUCACCCUGUUGUACAUAAAUAAACCAAUUCUCAAGAACCUGUUACUUCCAUUGAGACAUUCACCAAACACAGUUCUCUGUUACAGAGCUACUGAAAGACGACAACUACCAUAUGAGGAGUGAGACCAAAGCCUGCAGUUUCCCAGGUGAGGUCUGAAUGUGCCUAUGUCUUCCUUUGAACAUCAGUAAGCUUAUUUAAUCAAAUGUGCAACGUAAUUCCAUGCAACAUCAGCCCUAAUAAUCUCCACCGAGGUCAGUGGGGCUCUGUGCCCGUGUUGCGCUCCACGUGAAUAAAUUGAAUUGCAGGCCUAUGUUGAAAUCAUCUUGAUCUCAUUUUUCUUAGAUAUCUACAUGUGU